Molecule: long non-coding RNA, 154 nt
Organism: Rana temporaria (common frog)
Lineage: Eukaryota; Metazoa; Chordata; Amphibia; Anura; Ranidae
Exons: 2
Source: RefSeq, a predicted model, not a curated record
CCCCCCCAGGACCAUGGCAGCACUCACCGUCCGGGAAGACUGCCCUCAUCUUCAGGUAGCUGGUGGGCAUGUUGAUGAUGUUGGAAAUAGUUUCUGGCCUAUCUGGUAUGAAUGACUUGAAACUACAAAUCCCAGCAGCACAGUUGAUAAGCAG